Molecule: unclassified non-coding RNA, 300 nt
Filed under: Athalia rosae (coleseed sawfly)
Lineage: Eukaryota; Metazoa; Arthropoda; Insecta; Hymenoptera; Athaliidae
Description: misc RNA ENSAEAG00005009384.1
Source: RNAcentral
AAAUAAUCAGAGGAAGAAACAAAUGCAAGAUUUUCAUUCAACAAAGCGUUUCUACGGCAUCAACAAGACGGCGAUGACGUCUGAUUGCAGAGGUGGAUACCGAUACUUCUACCUGGAAAAACUCAGAAUGUUGCUAAAUGGUGGAUGAUUAAAUUUGCUGCUGGAGAAAUUUGUACUGCAAUAUACAAAUGCACCUCAACUUGGAGUAUGCAUUAGCCCUUGAAGGAUGCUGCAUCUGUGACUACUUACAAUAAUUGGAGUACAUGUAUCAAGUGUGAGAAAACCUAGGAGGAAACUUAC